RNAcentral lists this ribosomal RNA (359 nucleotides) under Vibrio cholerae. RNAcentral describes it as "partial 23S ribosomal RNA". It matches the Rfam family "Bacterial large subunit ribosomal RNA", at positions 1 to 406 of the family's 2925-position model. Lineage: Bacteria; Pseudomonadati; Pseudomonadota; Gammaproteobacteria; Vibrionales; Vibrionaceae. The record is from RNAcentral.
UGUAUGGUUAAGUGACUAAGCGUACACGGUGGAUGCCUGGGCAGUCAGAGGCGAUGAAGGACGUACUAACUUGCGAUAAGCGCAGAUAAGGCAGUAAGAGCCGUUUGAGUCUGCGAUUUCCGAAUGGGGAAACCCAACUGCAUAAGCAGUUACUGUUAACUGAAUACAUAGGUUAACAGAGCAAACCGGGGGAACUGAAACAUCUAAGUACCCCGAGGAGAAGAAAUCAACCGAGAUUCCGGUAGUAGCGGCGAGCGAACCUGGAUUAGCCCUUAAGCACUCGGUGAAGUAGGUGAACAAGCUGGAAAGCUUGGCGAUACAGGGUGAUAGCCCCGUAACCGACGCUUCAUCGAGCGUGA